GCCACUCUGGCGGAAUUGGCAGACGCGCUAGACUCAAAAUCUAGUGCUCCUAGCGGGCAUCCCGGUUCGACCCCGGGGAGUGGCACCA
Molecule: transfer RNA, 88 nt
Filed under: Oligoflexales bacterium
Lineage: Bacteria; Pseudomonadati; Bdellovibrionota; Oligoflexia; Oligoflexales
Description: tRNA-Leu
Rfam family: tRNA
About the family: Transfer RNA (tRNA) molecules are approximately 80 nucleotides in length. Their secondary structure includes four short double-helical elements and three loops (D, anti-codon, and T loops).
Source: RNAcentral